This 354-nucleotide unclassified non-coding RNA is filed under the name soil metagenome. RNAcentral describes it as "partial contains 5.8S ribosomal RNA, internal transcribed spacer 2, and large subunit ribosomal RNA". The stretch from base 1 to 120 matches the Rfam family "5.8S ribosomal RNA", at positions 35 to 154 of the family's 154-position model. The record is from RNAcentral.
GAUGAAGAACGCAGCGAAAUGCGAUAAGUAAUGUGAAUUGCAGAAUUCCGUGAAUCAUCGAAUCUUUGAACGCACAUUGCGUCCCCUGGCAUUCCGGGGGGCAUGCCUGUCCGAGCGUCAUUUCUGCCCUCCAGCCCGGCUGGGUGUUGGGCGCUGUCCCCCCGGGGACACGCCCCAAAGGCAGUGGCGGCGCCGCGUCAGGUCCUCGAGCGUAUGGGGCUUUGUCACCCGCUCGGGACGGACUCGUCGGCGCUGGUCUUCCUCCAGGCGACCCUUCGGGGCUCGUCUUCCUUCGGUUGACCUCGGAUCAGGUAGGGUUACCCGCUGAACUUAAGCAUAUCAAUAAGCGGAGGA